This 253-nucleotide ribosomal RNA is filed under the name Phycisphaerales bacterium. RNAcentral describes it as "partial 16S ribosomal RNA". It matches the Rfam family "Bacterial small subunit ribosomal RNA", at positions 1 to 270 of the family's 1533-position model. Lineage: Bacteria; Pseudomonadati; Planctomycetota; Phycisphaerae; Phycisphaerales. The record is from RNAcentral.
AACUGAAGAGUUUGAUCCUGGCUCAGCGCGAACGCUGGCGGCAUGGCUAAAACAUGCAAGUCGAACGCGAAAGCCCCUUCGGGGGCAAGUAGAGUGGCGAAAGGGCGAGGAAUGCGUUCCUACGUACCCCCAGGUCAGGGACAGUCCAGGGAAACUUGGCUUAAUACCUGAUGUGGUCUCCGGAUCAAAGGCUUCGGCCGCCCGGGGAGCGGGGAACGUCCUAUCAGGUUGUUGGUGAGGUAACGGCUCACCA